AUCGCUUAAUUCUUUUUAAAGAAGCGGGGGAACCAAUUUUCUUGGGGUGAAUCGAUUUUGAAGAGCUGCCCUUUUGCUCUAACCCGACAGCUAACCUCGUAAGCGUCAAAGGGGA
RNAcentral lists this small RNA (115 nucleotides) under human gut metagenome. Its description in RNAcentral is "ydaO/yuaA leader". It matches the Rfam family "c-di-AMP riboswitch aptamer (ydaO/yuaA leader)", at positions 11 to 127 of the family's 134-position model. From Rfam's summary of the family: This family represents a conserved RNA structure found upstream of the ydaO and yuaA genes in Bacillus subtilis and related genes in other bacteria. The record is from RNAcentral.